GAUGAAAUAGCUCUGUUGGGAGAGCGUUAGACUUAAGAUUAAAAGGUCCCUGGUCCGAUCCUGGAUUUCAGCA
Non-coding RNA from Danio rerio (zebrafish), 73 nucleotides. The record is from Rfam. Lineage: Eukaryota; Metazoa; Chordata; Actinopteri; Cypriniformes; Danionidae.